CAAGGGCUUCCUCUAAGCUGCAGAGUCUGUUUGGUCAAGAACAGAUGCAGAGAAAGCCCCUGGGGGUGGGCAGUAGCCUGGAGGAUCCCGUGCGUGAAUGCCCCUGCCUCCCAGCCUGCAGGCAGAUCAUUCUGGAAGGCAUUCUGCCUGCUCCUCAGGGCACAGCCGAGCUAUACAUUGUCACACACAUCUGCUUUUGUCUUCUCUCUCUACCAGCUGGCUCUCUGUGCUCAGGGCCCUGCAGCCAGUGAAAGAUGACUCACUCCCAAGUAUACCUGUUGCCCAAGAAGAAGGUAGAUUUCUCUCUCUCUUCCUCCCUCUCCCUCUCUCUCUCUUUCUCUCUCUCCCUCACACACACACACACACACACACACACACACACCAAGAAAAAGUCUUAUUCCAAAUUCCCAGAGAAGGGCUCUGAUUGGCCAACCUUAGGUCACAUGAUCCAUCUUAAUCCAAUCAAAUGUGACAAGGAGCUGUGGUCAUAGUAGCCAAUAUGACUGACAGCCCUACCCCAUUCUGCUGAUGAGGGAACAGGGUGCCACUGGGAUCCAGGAAGAUGUCUCUGUGCCACGGCCACUGGAGAAUCUUGUUAAAAUGCAGGCUUGGGUGAGGCUUGAUAGCUGCAUUCUUAACAAGCCCUCAAGUGGUGCUGAUGUGUAUAUACUGUCCACACUUCGAGUAGCCAAGGAGGACAUACUCAUCCCUCUGCAGUCUCAUUAUGUAAGAACCUACCCUCCCCACACCCAACAAGAGAAACCCUGGCUAAACAGCAAAGACUGAAAGAAAGAUUUCUUGCUGCUUGAGAUAUGACAAGGAGUGAGUUGUCACUGACAUUUCGAUGGAGUUUUUUUUAUACAAGGACAUUUAACUCAGCCUACAAACCAAACCAUUAAACAUACAGCCGAGUAAUUAGUUUUGCCAACUCAUGAUCAAAUCAGAUCAAAUCAGAGCUCAACUCUGAGCCUCACCCCAUUAUCUGCCAGGGAUCAUGAUGGGAGCAUCUCUGAUUAAGUUAAAACAGCAGUUUUUACAUUUCAACACAGCGUUUUUGUCGCAGUCACAUAAAACUGGCCAAGUUGGGGAGUUCCCGUUGUGACUCGGUGGUUAGCGAACCCAACUAGCUUCCAUGAGGACAUGGGUUUGAUCCCUGGCCUCACUCAGUGGGUUAAGGAUCCCAUGUUGCCAUGAGCUGUGGUGUAGGUCACAGACGUGACGCGGAUCUGCGUAGGCCAGCAGCUGCAGCUCCGAUUCAACCCCUAGCCUGGGAACCUCCAUAUGCCACAGAAGCAGCCCCAAAAGACAAAAACAAACAAACACAAAAACCUGGCCAAGUCAAAGUGGUCUGCUUCAUCUGUUCCCCUUCACCCAGCCCCUCAAGUGUCCCCAGCUGUGCACCCUGGGCCCUGGCCUCCUGCAAUCUCCUCCCCCUGCAGCCCCCUUGUCAUCUGAGGUCUCCUACCCUCAUCUGUGGUGGAUUAUGGCCCACAGAGAUCCCUCCAGCCCCUGCUCCAUCUGCAUCUGUCCUAUCCUGCCUUGUCUGUGGCCUCAGUGACAAUCAGUACCAGGCACUCCUAUUUCAACUGCUCUUCAUGGCUGCGGCCAUGUGCCCUGCACAGCUCAGCCCUUCUUACUAGCCAGCUGGGAGAUGGCCAAGAUCUCUGGCCAAACCACCAUGGGAAAUGGGGUGUUCCCAUUUGGGGUAGAAACCCAAUCUUGGUGGAGACUCUACCACCCAAGUGCUGUAGAACAUUUCUGUGAGGCUCCUAGGGGCCCGGGAAGGCCGCCUGGCACUGUGCUCCAGGACCAGGCCUGCAGAGGCAGCACAGCCUUGACACCUACCACUCAGCAUUUCACAUCGCCAUGGCACCCUACCCUGUUACCUCUCUUCUGGAAAAGGCCAUCAAAGGCAAGAUUCCCAAUACAUCCAAACCUUCCAGAAUUAGGAUCCAGCAUGAGCCUUGGUUAAUGAAUCCAACUAGGAACCAUGAGGUUCGAUCCCUGCCCUUGCUCAGUGGGUUAACGAUCCGGCGUUGCCGUGAGCUGUGGUGUAGGUUGUAGACUCAGCUCGGCUCCCGAGUUGCAGUGGCUCUGGCGUAGGCCAGUGGCUACAGGUCUGAUUCAACCCCUAGCCUGGGAACCUCCAUAUACCAUG
Molecule: long non-coding RNA, 2158 nt
Filed under: Sus scrofa (pig)
Lineage: Eukaryota; Metazoa; Chordata; Mammalia; Artiodactyla; Suidae
Description: lncRNA (ENSSSCG00030018387.1)
Source: RNAcentral